GAGUUUGAUCUUGGCUCAGGAUGAACGCUAGCGGCAGGCCUAAUACAUGCAAGUCGAGGGGCAGCACGGGUAGCAAUACCUGGUGGCGACCGGCGCACGGGUGCGUAACACGUAUACAAUCUGCCUUUAACAGGGGGAUAGCCCGGAGAAAUCCGGAUUAAUACCCCAUAACAAUAGAAGAAGCAUUUCUUUUAUUUGAAAGCUCCGGCGGUUAAAGAUGAGUAUGCGUCUGAUUAGCUAGUUGGUGAGGUAACGGCUCACCAAGGCGACGAUCAGUAGGGGAUCUGAGAGGACUACCCCCCACACGGAUACUGAGACACGGAUCCGACUCCUACGGGAGGCAGCAGUAAGGAAUAUUGGACAAUGCCCGCAAGGGUGAUCCAGCCAUGCCGCGUGCAGGAAGACGGCCCUAUGGGUUGUAAACUGCUUUUGUACGGGAAGAAACACUCCUACGUGUAGG
RNAcentral lists this ribosomal RNA (460 nucleotides) under uncultured Sphingobacterium sp. RNAcentral's name for it is "bacterial SSU rRNA". It matches the Rfam family "Bacterial small subunit ribosomal RNA", at positions 9 to 466 of the family's 1533-position model. The record is from RNAcentral. Lineage: Bacteria; Pseudomonadati; Bacteroidota; Sphingobacteriia; Sphingobacteriales; Sphingobacteriaceae.